CAGCAGCCACGGGAAAACGUAGGGUGCAAGCGUUAAUCGGGAUUACUGGGCGUAAAGCGUGCGCAGGCGGCUAUGCAAGACAGAUGUGAAAUCCCCGGGCUCAACCUGGGAACUGCAUUUGUGACUGGCGGGCUAGAGUAUGGCAGAGGGGGGUAGAAUUCCACGUGUAGCAGUGAAAUGCGUAGAGAUGUGGAGGAAUACCGAUGGCGAAGGCAGCCCCCUGGGCCAAUACUGACGCUCAUGCACGAAAGCGUGGGGAGCAAACAGGAUUAGAUACCCCCGUAGUCCUGUCUCUUAUACA
RNAcentral lists this ribosomal RNA (301 nucleotides) under uncultured bacterium. Its description in RNAcentral is "partial 16S ribosomal RNA". It matches the Rfam family "Bacterial small subunit ribosomal RNA", at positions 509 to 809 of the family's 1533-position model. The record is from RNAcentral.